AAUCAAAUGAAAAAACUGAUCUGGACAAUUUCUAAAGUCUAAAUAUUAUCUGUUUCAUCAGGAGUAACAAGAAAGAUCGCUAGAUAAAAUUUCUACAGUUAUACCUUACACGUCAUUGAACGCUAACUCAAUUCACUUGGACUAUGCAAAUCCAAGAAACCAAAUCAAAUUCCUUUGUUUCCAUUGAUUUGACUAUAUUUAAAUUAAAUAACUGCAAUACUACAAUGAUUAAUUAAGAGCUAUUGUGGGGUUUCCUAAAGAGAAAGGAAAAGGAAAAGAACACGAAAAAUUCACACAUCGGUCAAUAUUAACGAGGAUACAAUCACAACAUAUGCCAGAAAAAAGAAAAGGGCUAUCUGAACGAAGAACUUCGGAUUUUCUCUCAUGUUCGGAGAUGUCACUGCCCUGAAAAUCAGAAACCAUUCACACUAUUAGUCCUUUGAAUACAGAAAAUUUUAUUUCUUAGCCCUUCAAAUGAAGGAAAUGUGAGGAAAAGAAAUGAAAAAGUAACUCUAGAACAUCACACUUGGAAAAGACAGAAAAUGACUGUAUCUCUUUCUGUAAACAGAUGUUACCUAGCAAUACGCUGAGAAAAACGUUGAAAGGGUAAACUCUGGAUAAAAACGAUGCCUGGUCCUGUUAGAGUUGCUGUUACCAAAUUGUCACCCUGCAAUUUCACAACAUACUAAGAACAGCUACUUCUUACGCUAUAAGAUAAAUAUUCAAGAUCAAACCCAACUCUCCUCAUAGGUAUUAGUCAUGCUUAAGCAUCAAGGUGAUCUUUGGACUCAUAUUCUGGCUAAGGCAGACCAAAGCUAUGAAAUCGUAAACUACGUUAAUGAUCUUUUAAUACAAGGACACAAUGUUCUAUAUAUAAUGCAACAAUCUUUGAUCGUUGAAAUAGAGGAAUCCAACCAAGAGAAAAAUAAAUACUAAAAUAGAUGAGAGAAAGGGGAGUUAGUUUGGCAUGUAAGUUUGAAUAGAGUAAAAAAUAACAGGCAACUUACACCGAAGACUGCCCUUCUCAUGGGACCAUUGUAUUUGAUUUGUACAUUAACUGUGGUAUUAAGGGCCACAACGCAAGACAUGUCAACAGAUAGUACCUCACCCACCUCAAGAUUUUUCUGCAUAACAGAUCCUCCAGCAAGAAUAAAUGCAAGCCCCUGUCCGGAUAGCUUCUGUCUCAAAAAUCCCUAUAAUGGCAUUAACAUGUCCAUCAAAUGGAAAAUAAAGACACAUCAGAAACUUAAAAAUAGAAAUUAAUGGGAAAAGGUUUAUAACAGAACAAUAACAACUGCUUGAAGGUCUAGGUCUAAUUUCAGGCAGCCAAUAAAGCAAAAUAGGAAAAUAUUAACAAAAAAACAUGCACAGGGUACAGAGAUCAUUUAACAACCAGCACCUUCUCACCUCUGCACUAGCAAUGACAUUUCGUGCCCUCUGAUCAGCUGUAUUGCUUACCUUUACAUCAUUCACAGAGCAAAGGAAAGCAUCUGGCUACAUAAAAGUUUGACAAAGUCACAUAAAAAUUGCAGUUGGUAAAAGUUAAGGAAAAGUCCAAAGGUAAUUCAACAGUGUAAAUCAUACAACAGCAGAAGAAAACCAAAGAGUAUUCAAAGCUCCCCGCUGCAAAAUGUGGAUAAAUGGGUAUAAAUUACUUUCUCUGCAAAAUGAUCUACCUGGCAUAAGAUCUCUCCACCAAACAUUGCCAAAUCAAUCUACAAAAUAAACAAAAGCCACAUAAAUAUCUAAUUAAUAAUUUAGCAUAUUUAAAAACAAAUUUGGCAUCGCAUGUUUGACUACAACAAAAGGUUCAAUGGAUAAAUUAUUUAAAGAAUCUGCCACAUUUUGAAGCACUAACUGGGAGAAUUCUUGCAAGAGAAGGUGCAGCAAUUCCAACAAAUCCAUCACUUGGACCAGCAUUACGAAGGACUAUACUGGUGACAGUCUUCCCAAAAAGCCACUGCCACAGACCCACUUCAUUUUCAGGGAUGAAGAUGUUCUCCAUUUCUACAGAGCCAGACAUGAAGCACAUAGAACCUACAAUAUCACUGCACAUUAGUUCCAUCAACAAUAACCGUGUAAUAGGAAAAAUGUUUUAUGAUAAAAACUCAAAAAAUAGACCAAACAAAAUAUUAGUCAGCUAAAAAAGUAACACAGAAUUGCAUAAGCCAUAAAAAAAUCCUCUUUUUGUUCAAUUUACCUGGCUUUGCAAUAACCUUUUCUUGUGGUUUCAACAUUAUCUGACCAAGAUAGAAUUAAUACCAAGAAAGAAAAUUAAGAGCAGAGAAUCUUAGAACAAAAAAAGAAAAAAUCAGCAUGUAGCCUGGGCUGGUUAUCGCACAGACCUGAACCACUUGUGCCUCACCACCCAAAAUCUGGAAAGGUAUCACAGCAUCUUGCUGACUCUACAGUAAUUUAUCACUCAUGAGAUUAAUAGCAUUCAAUAUCACAAAAUCUACUGACUUGCAAGCAGACUCCAUUAACAGAUGAAUGAAGCAAAACCAAGAGGCAAAAAUUCACAACACAAUCACAGUUAACUAAAUAUUGACCUAGAGGUACCCACUGAAAACUAGCUUAAUUAAUCAAAAAACACAAUUCAUAUUAUCUUCCUUUGCUUACUUGCAAAUAAGGGGAAAUUCCAUAAAUAUUCAAAUUUAGGAUAUCAAAACACAUAAAAGUGCCACACCACUGUGUACCACAAAGACACCUUAAUGAGCUUAUUAAUUGUUCACAAGUAACGUAUGAUGUUAAAAAUCAAAAUGCACUUAUUAAUGAAUCCAAAAUUCCAAAUUAACAAAUGGUGUUUGACUCUAUAAUAUUUACUAUCAAGACCUGUUAAUUAAGCUAAGGUUAAUUUGACUUUACACUAAAGUUCAAUAUUGCAAGAGGAAGAAUUAUCAGGCAUGGUUAAGGCCACCUCAAGUUUAUUAUUAGAAAAAAGGUGCAAGUAUGCUUGCCCUUCAUGAAGGAAGCAGGUAGAAACCCAUAAACAUGUUCCCAUGUCCAUAAUGAGGAGGAUUGUCCCUUAUCGCUGAUGGUUGUUGUGAUGGGAAAGUACCAGAUGACAAUCGUGAAUACCCGCUGACACCAGUGCACCAAGAUAUGCCCUCUUAAAAUAAAGAUUCCAGCACCAACGUGGAUGCAUAUCAAUUCAAACUUUGCACAGAGCAAAACAAACCAUGAGAGCUAUUCUACUGUUUUGCAUACAAAUGUCUGACUUGAGGGGUUUGUCACUAACCAGAUGCCUGCCUGGGUCCACAGUUACGCCAGGCUGAAUGGGAGCUUGGUGUUUGAGGCACAUACUAGACAAUAUCCCCACAAUACAAGAGCAUCCUGCUUAAGCAGAUGAAUCACGGAUAGGAAUAAGUGGGUGGUUAUCCCACUAAAGUGCCAUCUGCCAACUGCACAAGAGGGAGGCACAUAUGUGCAUAGUGUUUAUGCUCCAUGGGUAUUCUCCUAACAAUGCAGCACAAUAUAUUGCAAAUCCUAACACCCCAUUCAGGACACCCUUUCUCAAAGUUCAUUAUGGCCGCACAUUCUCAUGUGUGCAUUUCUAAUCUAAUCUACCAUAUUUUUCAUUCCCUUUUUCUUUUUGCUUUUCCUUUGCACCAGUUUUACAAUUUUACUCCCAAUCACAAAAGUCCAACUCCAACCCCAUACAUAUUAUGUGUGUAUUUAUCCAACUUCAACUUACAUUACAUAUCAUUGCCCAGCUAAAUUUAAUCACAGUAUCAUUGAUUUAUUUGUUUCCCUCAAAUUGCUCACAAUUUUAAUUCUUCCUAGCUCUGUCAUCUAGUUUUCAAACAGCUAGAAAAUACAAAUAUCAGGCAUUCCAUCCUCCACAUAUAUCUAAACUCCUAGACCCGAUAGACCAUUGACACAAAAAUCAUGUUCAAUUAAUGAAAAUAUACUACAUUUAGCAAAAUAAGCAACAAACUCAUCUCCACCAAAUUUAACCCUAACCAGUAACCACCAAAUUAAAUAAGAACACGAUCUCCAACAAUGCACACAAAGCAACACAGAUCAAACAACGAAACCACACCAAAACCCUACAUCAACGGAGCACUUUCUGUAAAGGAAACCACUGAACUCAAUUUUCUUUUCCUCAUCUCAAAUUUCCAAGAAACUAAACACAGGGAAGCUAUACAAAUAAACGCACUUACAAAUAUACGAAUAUAUAAUCGUGUACAGAGAGUGACAAGGUGAGUCAGAGUACCUGAUAAACGUAAGGUUGAAACGGAGUGGAGAAAAACGGCGCGGCCAUGGGGAGCAAACGCAGAGGAUUAUAACCGUGAAGGAGCGAAGAUCGAGAAAGAACUUAAAACGAUUUAAUUUCGAGGAUUUUUAUGGGUAGAAUAGUUCCAUUUUUGAUGAUCGGAUCAAGAAUUGGGAAAUUGAAUAAAAACUUCACACAAGUUUGAAGGACUCCACUUUUUUAUUAUUAUUAUUUUUUUUAAUGUGGAAGAUCUGUAUUGCAAUGAAAUUUUAUGAAGGAUCAGUUGCUGAUCGGAUAGCUUGGUUGAAAGGGGGCAAGCUUCAACUGUCAGAUAUUUUGAGGUACGGCAUAGAUUUGGCGAAAGGGAUCCAAGAGUUGCACUCAAUUGGGUUGCUAGUACUGAACCUUAAGCCUUCUAACUUCCUACUUAAUGAUCAUGAUCAAGUGGUUCUUGGAGAUUUUGGUAUACCUUAUCUACUAAAUGGCAUACCAUUGUUGAAUUCAGAGAUGGCUUUAAGACUUGGAACAGCAAACUAUAUGGCGCCAGAACAGUGGGAUCCAGAAGUACGAGGUCCUAUGUCUUUUGAGACAGAUUCAUGGGGGUUGGGGUGUAGCAUAGUGGAGAUGUUGACUGGUUUUCAACCUUGGUUUGGGAAAUCAAUAGAGGAAAUAUAUCAAUUAGUUGUGAUCAAACAAGAAAAACCAAAGAUUCCAAGUGGCCUUCCACCUGCUGUGGAGAAUGUUAUUAAGGAUGUUUUGAGUGUGAUCUUCGGAACCGACUUUAAUGGAAGAUAUUUUAUGUGCAUUUCAAAGCUUGCAGAAUGCUGGUUAUAGCGAUGGAAGAUGGGUUGGCCUUGAAAGCAGAGCUCUUAGUGAAAAAUCAAGUGCUGCUGGCUAUAUUCCAUGGUAUCUCUCCAAAGAUCUUCUCCAAGUGGGUGACCCAGUUCUUUCAUGAAAACCACUAAAAGCAUGAAAGAAUCAAAAUAUGGAUGUCCUUAACUGAAUUGUGGUUGCUAUAUAAAGUGACACCGAUGGAAAUGAUGAUGUGCUGAUCAAAAUUCCUGGAAUUCACAAACCUCUGAGAGUGCAAGAGUCGGCACUUGAGAAGGUCACAUCUGGCUUUGCAGUGGGAGACUGGGUUCGUCUAAAGGAAGAGCAUGGGAGGCAUUCUUCUGUGGGAAUUCUACACUCUUGUGGAUCGUGAUGGAGGAGGUGUGACAGUUGGAUUUGUAUGGUUGGAGACUCUCUGGAUGGGAAGUACUUCUGAGCUCCAAAUGGCCAAAGUUUAUUGUGUUGGGCAGUUUGUGAGGCUGAAGGCUAAUGUGGUUACUCCACGGUUUGAGUGGCCUCGUAAAAGAGGAGGACGAUGGGCAACUGGAAGGAUUUCACAAAUCCUCCCAAAUGGGUGUCUUUUUGUUGGCUUCCCAGGGAGGCUUGUGUUUGGAGAUGAAUCCAAUAGCUUCCUAGCAGAUCCAGCUGAAGUGGAACUAGUUUCUUUUGAUACUUGUCCUGGAGUGGUGGAAAAAUAUCAGCAUGUUGAGGAUUUUCACUGGGUUGUAAGGCCCCUUGUAAUUGCAUUAGGUGUAUUUACUGCCGCGAAGCUUACAAUUUCUGUCGGAAGAAAAGUAAGCACAAAACUGAGAAUGGGCCAAAGAUCAGGCAAUGGCCAUUAUCAGGAUGGCUCAGCUGGUAAUAAUGCAGCUUGGUUUCCACCGCCAGUUGCAAAUAUUCUUUUCAAAGAAGGUGUUCCUACUGCCACUGUUAGGUAAUCCAUCACCUCAUAUCCAGACAUGAGUAAGUUUCCUAGAAUCUAAAAUCGUUCAGAGGCUGUUAACUAGAAUAACUGCCAAAGGUCAAGAACAUCAUUGGUUUUAACUCAAUGCAAUUGUACCAGACAGACUGUAAAUAUGUAAAUUCAGAUGUUCUCAUGCUCUCUGUAAAUCCACGUACAGGAUAUUUAUUAAAUGUAUGCAUUGGCUCCCACUGUUGUAUAAUUUUGAACUUCGAUUCUGGUUUGCUGCAAGUUGGUUUCUGUUUACUUGAUGCUUUGGCGUAUGGUUUGCC
Molecule: unclassified non-coding RNA, 6280 nt
Filed under: Hevea brasiliensis (rubber tree)
Lineage: Eukaryota; Viridiplantae; Streptophyta; Magnoliopsida; Malpighiales; Euphorbiaceae
Source: RNAcentral